GACGAACGCUGGCGGAGGGAGGAACACAUGCAAGUCGAACGGAAAGGCCCUGCUUUUGUGGGGUGCUCGAGUGGCGAACGGGUGAGUAACACGUGAGUAACCUGCCCUUGACUUUGGGAUAACUUCAGGAAACUGGGGCUAAUACCGGAUAGGAGCUCCUGCUGCAUGGUGGGGGUUGGAAAGUUUCGGCGGUUGGGGAUGGACUCGCGGCUUAUCAGCUUGUUGGUGGGGUAGUGGCUUACCAAGGCUUUGACGGGUAGCCGGCCUGAGAGGGUGACCGGCCACAUUGGGACUGAGAUACGGCCCAGACUCCUACGGGAGGCAGCAGUGGGGAAUAUUGCACAAUGGGCGGAAGCCUGAUGCAGCAACGCCGCGUGCGGGAUGACGGCCUUCGGGUUGUAAACCGCUUUCGCCUGUGACGAAGCGUGAGUGACGGUAAUGGGUAAAGAAGCACCGGCUAACUACGUG
Molecule: ribosomal RNA, 468 nt
Filed under: uncultured bacterium
Lineage: Bacteria
Description: partial 16S ribosomal RNA
Rfam family: Bacterial small subunit ribosomal RNA
Source: RNAcentral